Capsella rubella is the source of this 1433-nucleotide RNA transcript. It is a transcript of the gene named delta(3,5)-Delta(2,4)-dienoyl-CoA isomerase, peroxisomal, with no coding region annotated. The record is from RefSeq and is a predicted model, not a curated record. The transcript has 3 exons. NCBI's taxonomy places the organism in Eukaryota, Viridiplantae, Streptophyta, Magnoliopsida, Brassicales, Brassicaceae.
CUCCAUAGUCCCAUACCUUAUCAAGCUUAUCAUCAUCAACUCAAUUUCGAAACUGGUAGCUAUGGAGUCAUACAAAACCCUAGAAAUCGUACGCAAGAACACUGAUUCCUCUGUAUUUCACCUCAUCCUCAACAGACCAUCACACCUCAACGCCUUAUCCCUCGAUUCCUUCAUCGAACUCCCAAAAGCUCUAUCAUCACUCGACCAAAACCCAGACGUCUCCGUCAUUAUCAUCUCCGGCGCCGGAAAACACUUCUGUUCCGGCAUAGAUCUCACUUCCCUCUCUUCAAUCUCGGCUCAAUCCUCCUCAGGUAACGACAGAGCACGCUCGAGCGAGCUCUUACGGCGUAAGAUCAAGUCGAUGCAAGCUGCGAUAACGGCGAUCGAGAUCUGCCGGAAACCUGUGAUCGCCGCUGUACACGGCGCGUGUAUCGGUGGUGGUGUUGAUCUCGUUACGGCUUGUGAUAUUAGGUAUUGCUCUGAGGAUGCUUUUUUCUCGAUUAAAGAGGUUGAUUUAGCGAUUGUCGCGGAUCUUGGUACGCUUCAGAGGUUGCCGAGUAUUGUUGGGUAUGCGAACGCUAUGGAAUUGGCUUUAACUGCUCGGAGAUUCUCAGGUGGUGAAGCGAAGGAGCUUGGUUUGGUUUCUCGGGUUUUUGGAUCUAAAUCGGAGCUUGAUAAUGGUGUCACCAUGAUUGCUGAAGGAAUAGCAGCAAAGUCUCCACUAGCAGUGACAGGGACAAAGGCAGUGUUAUUAAGGAGCAGAGAGGUGAGUGUAGAACAAGGUCUUGACUACGUAGCAACUUGGAACUCGGCUAUGCUUAUAUCAGAUGAUCUCAAUGAGGCUGUUUCUGCUCAGAUGAUGAAAAGAAAGCCUCGUUUUGCUAAACUGUGAUGAUACAGUCUCUGUUGCUUCUUGUCUUUCAAAGACAGUGUUUAUCGUUCGUCCGGUAACAAAUAUUUAACAAUUGCUCUGUUUAAGCAGCAUCCUGUUAUAAGGCAAGUCUUUCCCAUUAUCAGGUAAGCCUUUGGCCAUGUUGAUGCAUGUGCCAGCUCCUUAAUCUGAUUCUUGCUUUGUUAAUCAGAAACGUCGUAAGUGCGGUAAUAUUCGAUAUAGCCAUGUAUAUACCAACAGUCUGUAACUAGAUGUGAGAUGAAACGGUUCAGCUAACUUGCUCAGAAGUUCAUUGACCGUAUCUUGGUUUCUUAUCUAGAUAUAGAGAAAUAGUACUAGAUUGUGUAUACAAGGCUUCAAGAUGAAUCCAUGCUUUUGUAUCUUCUCGACAACGGCCUCGGCACUGCAAAGUUCUUUGAAGAUGAAACCUUUGCAAGUUUCUCAAAUCUUGUGUACUUGGUUAAUAUAAGCCACUAGAUUUUAAUUUGUAAUUCAUGUUUUUAAAAAUCGAUAGAUUUUGUUGGAGUUUAUUUAAUAAUUA